Molecule: unclassified non-coding RNA, 376 nt
Filed under: fungal sp.
Lineage: Eukaryota; Fungi
Description: partial internal transcribed spacer region
Rfam family: Eukaryotic small subunit ribosomal RNA (bases 1-46)
Source: RNAcentral
AAGUCGUAACAAGGUUUCCGUAGGUGAACCUGCGGAAGGAUCAUUAACACUCCAAAACUUUUUCUCAUAGCUCUGGGAAACCAGAGUUUAUGAAACCCUAUUCACUACUGCGAACCCGGCCAGAUGGAAGGAGGGGUGGUUCUUUUCCCUGGUGGAACAAAAACCACAAAACACCUCAUCCAUCUAGCUACCUUUUUUUUUUCUUUUGUCCAAUUUUUCCUUUUUAAACCCCAAUCAUUAUUAUCUUUUUUCGGUCUGACUGGAAGACUCUCUCGGGUCUUCCGUUGCUCUUCUACUCUAACCAGUGAAGGCAAUGAAAACUGCUAUUUUAAAAAAAACAAAAAAACAACUCUUAGCAACGGAUAUCUUGGUUCUC